AAACAAACCCAAUUAACAGGAAGGAAAAUUAGCACACACAAGUCUUUCCAUUUCUGUUUACUCCAACAAUAUAUAUCUCUCUCUUUCUACGCGUUAUCAUUCUCUUCAAAUCUAGGGUUCCAACUUGUUUGUUAUUCAACUUCAUCUCUGUGAUCAUCGAGGUUUCAUGGAGGGAGUGGAAGAGACUGUGAAGUCAGAGGCACACUUGACAUCAGCUGCAGCUUUUGUGGAAGGUGGAAUCCAGGAGGCCUGUGAUGAUGCAUGCAGCAUAUGCCUUGAAGCCUUCUGUGACAGUGAUCCUUCAACUGUAACAAGUUGCAAGCAUGAGUUCCAUCUUCAAUGCAUUCUUGAAUGGUGUCAAAGAAGCUCCCAAUGCCCUAUGUGCUGGCAACCUAUCAGCCUGAAGGAUCCUACAAGUCAAGAAUUGCUUGAGGCUGUGGAGCGUGAGAGGAGUCUUAGGUUUAAUCCAUCUAGAAAUGCGACUAUAUUUCAUCAUCCAACUCUGGGCGAUUUUGAAUUAGAGCACUUGCCAGUGGGUGCAAAUGAUGCUGAACUUGAAGAGCGUAUAAUCCAGCACUUAGCUGCUGCUGCUGCAAUGGGACGGCGUCACAUUGCUAGACGGGAAGGUCAGAGGAACAGAUCAUCAGCUCAAGGUCGUCCACAGUUUUUAGUAUUCUCAAGUCAUCCUAAUGCACCAGCUGGACAAAUUUCUUCCUCUCCAGCUCAGAGAGAAGGUGAACCUGUUGCUACAAUCUCAAUACCCACUCUAUCAUCCCUUCCUGCGAAUGUUCAGGAAGAAUCUUUACAGCCAAUUACACCGCAAUCAUCUGAUGUCCAAGCUGAGCCCGCAUCUGCUUCUUCUUCUGGAUCUAGUAUUCUUGCUUCCAGUGAACGGGAAAAUUUAUUGAACAAUAGGAGGUCUCCUAAUCAGUCUUCCCCAAAUAGCCAAGACAGAGCAGGACCAUCGGAAUCACAAUCUUUUUCGGAUUCUAUGAAGUCUAAGUUAAAUGCUGUUUCAAUGAGAUACAAAGAAUCAAUUUCAAAGAGUACUAGGGGAUGGAGAGAGAGGUUUUUUUCUCGUAGCAAUACUAUGGCAGAUAUUGGUUCUGAGGUUAGAAGAGAGGUUAAUGCUGGAAUUGCAACAGUAUCGCGAAUGAUGGAGCGACUAGAAACCAGAGAAAACAAUAGAACCAGUAUUUCUUCUGUUUCAAACAGUGAGGAAGAUAGCUCAGUAACAGAAUCAAACAACCAACAAAUAUCAGAGACUGGUGGUGGAGAUCCUAUGAGUAAUACAAAUGCCAAUAUGCAAGCUCCGUGUGCUGCAAGUUCUGGUUCAGAUUAAGCAUAAUUUCUGCAAUUGAAUCAACCUCGAGUUAAUUCAGAUAAAACUUGAUCUGUAGCCCUGUAGUCAUUAUGAUUGUCACAUUGAAUUGCAGUUGUUGGUGAUGGCAGGUAUUUUGAAGACAAGUACAAGAUCUUGGUGACUGGCAAAAUCUGAGUCACCUCAUUCUCUGCUACCCUAGCAAGCUGCAGUCCUUCCUGGAUCACUGAUGUCGUUCCCAGGAUCAGUUUCUGUUUCGCGAAUAUAUGUAAUAAAAAAAAAAAAUGGCAUCUCCCAGCACACGUCUGAGGCUGUUCGCAAAAAUGAAAAAUCCACCCAGUUAAAACUGAAUCAGAAAGUGCAUGUUCUAUAAAGGUUGGUCGUUAAACUGAAACUGAAUAGGUGGUUUGGGUUUGAUUAAGGUAAAAGAAUUCAGUUAAACCCCACCUGAUUGAAUAUGCUUAAUUCAAUUGAUUAAUCUGCAAAAAGGUUGCUUUUUUUUUUU
Molecule: RNA transcript, 1826 nt
Organism: Hevea brasiliensis (rubber tree)
Lineage: Eukaryota; Viridiplantae; Streptophyta; Magnoliopsida; Malpighiales; Euphorbiaceae
Gene name: E3 ubiquitin-protein ligase RHF2A
Exons: 10
Source: RefSeq, a predicted model, not a curated record